AGUGAACGCUGGCGGUAGGCCUAACACAUGCAAGUCGAACGGCAGCACAGUAAGAGCUUGCUCUUACGGGUGGCGAGUGGCGGACGGGUGAGGAAUACAUCGGAAUCUACUUUUUCGUGGGGGAUAACGUAGGGAAACUUACGCUAAUACCGCAUACGACCUACGGGUGAAAGCAGGGGAUCUUCGGACCUUGCGCGAUUGAAUGAGCCGAUGUCGGAUUAGCUAGUUGGCGGGGUAAAGGCCCACCAAGGCGACGAUCCGUAGCUGGUCUGAGAGGAUGAUCAGCCACACUGGAACUGAGACACGGUCCAGACUCCUACGGGAGGCAGCAGUGGGGAAUAUUGGACAAUGGGCGCAAGCCUGAUCCAGCCAUACCGUGUGGGUGAAGAAGGCCUUCGGGUUGUAAAGCCCUUUUGUUGGGAAAGAAAAGCAGCAGGUUAAUACCCCGCUGUUCUGACGGUACCCAAAGAAUAAGCACCGGCUAACUUCGU
RNAcentral lists this ribosomal RNA (491 nucleotides) under uncultured bacterium. RNAcentral's name for it is "partial 16S ribosomal RNA". It matches the Rfam family "Bacterial small subunit ribosomal RNA", at positions 29 to 506 of the family's 1533-position model. The record is from RNAcentral.